GAUGAACGCUGGCGGCGUGCCUAAUACAUGCAAGUCAAGCGAACGGACGAGAAGCUUGCUUCUCUGAUGUUAGCAGCGGACGGGUGAGUAACACGUGGAUAACCUACCUAUAAGACUGGGAUAACUUCGGGAAACCGGAGCUAAUACCGGAUAAUAUUUUGAACCGCAUGGUUCAAAAGUGAAAGACGGUCUUGCUGUCACUUAUAGAUGGAUCCGCGCUGCAUUAGCUAGUUGGUAAGGUAACGGCUUACCAAGGCAACGAUGCAUAGCCGACCUGAGAGGGUGAUCGGCCACACUGGAACUGAGACACGGUCCAGACUCCUACGGGAGGCAGCAGUAGGGAAUCUUCCGCAAUGGGCGAAAGCCUGACGGAGCAACGCCGCGUGAGUGAUGAAGGUCUUCGGAUCGUAAAACUCUGUUAUUAGGGAAGAACAUAUGUGUAAGUAACUGUGCACAUCUUGACGGUACCUAAUCAGAAAGCCACGGCUAACUACGUG
This 497-nucleotide ribosomal RNA is filed under the name uncultured bacterium. RNAcentral's name for it is "partial 16S ribosomal RNA". It matches the Rfam family "Bacterial small subunit ribosomal RNA", at positions 28 to 507 of the family's 1533-position model. The record is from RNAcentral.